This 1334-nucleotide ribosomal RNA is filed under the name metagenome. Its description in RNAcentral is "bacterial SSU rRNA". It matches the Rfam family "Bacterial small subunit ribosomal RNA", at positions 8 to 1317 of the family's 1533-position model. The record is from RNAcentral.
AGAGUUUGAUCCUAGCUCAGGAUGAACGCUGGCGGCAUGCCUAAGACAUGCAAGUCGAACGAAGCACAUACAGAAAGCGUACUUGUACGGUGGACGUAUAUGACUUAGUGGCGAACGGGUGAGUAACAGGUAGGUAAUCUACCCUAGAGACGGGGAUAACAUUUGGAAACGGAUGCUAAUACCGGAUAGGAUAAUUGAUCGCAUGGUUGAUUAUUUAAAGGUGCUUUUGGCAGCACUCUAGGAGGAGCCUGCUUCGUAUUAGCUAGUUGGUUGGGUAAAAGCCAACCAAGGCAACGAUGCGUAGCCGAGCUGAGAGGCUGAUCGGCCACACUGGAACUGAGACACGGUCCAGACUCCUACGGGAGGCAGCAGUUAGGGAUAUUCGGCAAUGGGGGAAACCCUGACCGAGCAAUGCCGCGUGAAUGAAGAAGUAUUUCGAUAUGUAAAGUUCUGUUGUUGAGGAAGAACAUUAAGAUGAGGAAAUGCAUUUUAAAUGACGGUACUCAACCAGAAAGCCCCUGCUAACUACGUGCCAGCAGCAGCGGUAAUACGUAGGGGGCAAGCGUUAUCCGGAAUUAUUGGGCGUAAAGGGUGCGUAGGCGGCCUAUUAAGUCUAAGUUGAAAGCCCACGGCUUAACCGUGGAGGGUGCUUAGAAACUAAUGGGCUUGAAUCCAGAAGAGGCAAGUGGAAUUCUAUAUGGAGCGGUGGAAUGCGUAGAUAUAUGGAGGAACACCAGCGGCGAAGGCGGCUUGCUGGGCUGGUAUUGACGCUGAGGCACGAAAGCGUGGGGAGCAAACAGGAUUAGAUACCCUGGUAGUCCACGCCGUAAACGAUGAGUACUAAGUGUUGGGGAGACUCAGUGCUGAAGUUAACAUAUUAAGUACUCCGCCUGGGGAAUACGAUCGCAAGAUUGAAACUCAAAGGAAUUGACGGGGACCCGCACAAGCGGUGGAGCAUGUGGUUUAAUUCGAGGCAACGCGAAGAACCUUACCAGGUCUUGACAUACUAUUGACAGGUCUAGAGAUAGAUUUUUUCUACGGAACAAUAGAUACAGGUGGUGCAUGGUUGUCGUCAGCUCGUGUCGUGAGAUGUUGGGUUAAGUCCCGCAACGAGCGCAACCCUUGUCUUUAGUUACUAACAUUCAGUUGAGGACUCUAGAGAAACUGCCAGUGAUAAACUGGAGGAAGGUGGGGAUGACGUCAAAUCAUCAUGCCCCUUAUGACCUGGGCUACACACGUGCUACAAUGGUUGGAAACAAUGAGACGCAAAGUCGCAAGAUGAAGCAAACCUCAAAAAGACAAUCUCAGUUCGGAUUGUAGUCUGCAACUCGACC